This 301-nucleotide ribosomal RNA is filed under the name uncultured bacterium. RNAcentral's name for it is "partial 16S ribosomal RNA". It matches the Rfam family "Bacterial small subunit ribosomal RNA", at positions 509 to 809 of the family's 1533-position model. The record is from RNAcentral.
CAGCAGCCGCGGGAAUACGGAGGAUCCAAGCGUUAUCCGGAAUCAUUGGGUUUAAAGGGUCCGUAGGCGGUCUUGUAAGUCAGUGGUGAAAGCCCAUCGCUCAACGGUGGAACGGCCAUUGAUACUGCAGGACUUGAAUUAUUGGGAAGUAACUAGAAUAUGUAGUGUAGCGGUGAAAUGCUUAGAGAUUACAUGGAAUACCAAUUGCGAAGGCAGGUUACUACCAAUUGAUUGACGCUGAUGGACGAAAGCGUGGGUAGCGAACAGGAUUAGAUACCCGAGUAGUCCCUGUCUCUUAUAA